CAGAGAGAAAGGUCUUCCUUCCGUUGGUUCACCCCCCAAAUGGCUGGCAUGCUGAGCUGAUCCGAAGCCAGGAGCCAGGUGCUUCCUCCUGGUCUCCCAUGCAGGUGCAGGGCCCGAGGACUUGGGCCAUCCUCCACUGCCUUCCUGGGCCACAGAAGAGUGCUGGACUGUAAGAGGAGCAACCAGGACAGAAUCCGGCACCCCAACCGGGACUAGAACCCAGGAUGCCGGUGCCACAGGCAGAGGAUUAGCCAAGUGAGCUGCAGCGCCGGCCAGUGCAAGGGACUUUAUAGAUGGUUAAGAGGCUGUGUGGAGAAUCAGUUGGUCCAACUAAUGGAAAGAAAGUGGUACAAAGAAAGGCACUAUCACAGGACAGUCAUAAGCACUAGUUCUGGAUUCAAGUCCAGCUCCACCACUCUGCAGAGGCCACUUUUACUGUCUGUCUCCUCCGCCUUUAAAGUGAGGGUGGCAAUACCUCCUUAUGAGAGGCUGUGAGCGGUUGAUGAGGUGCUUUGUGUAGCGCGCCCAUUGGAGUGUCUGGUAACAGGAGGCUCCCAGUGUAGGAAGCCUGACAUGAUAAGUAUGAAAUCAACAGUUACUCUAGGAUGGUGCUAGUAUGGUAGCCGCUAGCCACACGUAGCUAUUACAUUAAUCUAAAAUUCAGUUCCCUUGUUGCACUAGCCAUAGGCCAAAUGCUCCAUAGCCACAUGUGGCCAGCACAGACAUGGACAUUUCCAACAUCACAGAUCUACUGGACAGCACAGAGUUCUGAAUAAGGGAUACUCCUGGGCCUGGAGCCAAGUUACAGCAACUGGUACAGAAGCCCCUCCCCUCCUCUGGGGCCGUCAGAGAUGUGUGCCUAUCCCCUAUCUGUGCUUCACCAGGGCCUGCCACAGGCUACCUGGGCUCCCAGUUCUUCCCUUUGCCUCCAUUUAAUGUGCACCACUGCUAGGAUGGACCUUGAUGGAUAUCACCACAAACCCAGGCCUCUUGGCAGAGCCUUCAAACCCCUCCAGCAGCCAGUCUUCCUGCCAUCUCCUGCUCUCCCUCAUCUCCCUGCUCACAAUGCUGAUCCAUCUCCUGCAAAAAGACUCUUCCCUGGAAGACUUUACCACCACCCCCCCCCCCCCACGGCCUCUACAGCACCUACCUACUCUGCUCCUUUCCAACAUCUCACUGACCACACUGGUGCAUUCCUCUUUUUUCUUUCAUAGCUACACUGCUUGGCUUUCCAGAUCUGUGCAAAAGCUCUUUCUGAUCAGCCUCAUUCCUGGUGAACUCCUGUUCCUGGGGGAUUCAGUUUGCCUGAGACAGAGAUCUUCCACCUGCUGGUUCACUCUCCAGAUGCCUGCAGUAGCCGAAGCUGGGCCAGACCCAAGCCAGGAGCUCGGAACUCCAUCCGGGUCUCAUGUGAUGGCAGGGACCCAUGUACUUGGGCCAUGAUCUGCCACCUCCCAGGGCGCACAUUAUGGCUAACUCUUUAAAGCCAUGUCAUGUAUCAUGUUCAGCUCUCCUCAUAGGUGAGCACUGGCGAAGAAAGAACCCUAACUAUUUGUUUGAAAUCUUCUUUUAGAAAUAAAAAUAUUUUAUAUACAUCUUCAGAAUCACACACAAGUUACCUUUCAGUUCAGUUUAACUGCAUUGAAAUCAUCUGGGUUUUAUAUUUUCAGUUACAUUUGAACUGAGAUUACAAGAUUGCAAGAAAAACACAGAAGAAUUAUACAUUAUUUCAGUACCUUUUAGCACACCAAAUUGAAAUACACACAUGGAAACUUCAGGUUUGUGGGAAAUGGUCUUCAAAUACAAUACAGACCAUUCUCAAAGCUACCAUAUCAUUUGCAUGUGGUAUUUGCAGCUCUGAUCUGUCUCAUAGAGAACAGCUCUCCUAUGCAUGUGGCAAAACUAAUGGGCCAUGAAGCGGAAGCCUGUAGAUUAAGCCAAGGACCAUCCAGUACUUCAAAAGCUGUAUUGCCUUUACAAGGCCUGGCAUUUCUGGACCAGAACAGGACGGAAGGGAAUCACUCCAAAGUUACUUGGUAGCUUGGAAUUUUUCAUAAAGCCCCAUUUUAUAUCUUGGAAAAAAUCCAAGGGCAAUUAGAUGACAAUGGUUUGGACCCUACAUUUCCUUCUUAUUAAUAGAACCCAUGACGUUCAGUGAGAAAUCAAGAAACAUUAAGCACCUACUGGUUUGAGAUUGAAAUUUAUUAAAGAUUUAUGAUGCAUUGCUUCCCACCUUGAAACCAAGGUGUAAAACUGGCAUCUUUUGAAGCAGAACAGGCCGGCGCCGUGGCUCAACAGGCUAAUCCUCCUGCUUGCGGUGCCGGCACACCGGGUUCUAGUCCCGGUUGGGGUGCUGGAUUCUGUUCCGGUUGCCCCUCUUCCAGGCCAGCUCUCUGCUGUGGCCCAGGAGUGCAGUGGAGGAUGGCCAAGUGCUUGGGCCCUGCACCCCAUGGGAGACCAGGAGAAGCACCUGGCUCCUGCCUUUGGAUCAGCGCAGUGUGCUGGCCACAGAGCGCCAACCACGGCGGCCAUUGGAGGGUGAACCAACAGUAAAGGAAGACCUUUCUCUCUGUCUCUCUCUCUCACUGUCCACUCUGCCUGUCAAAAAAAGAAGAAGAAGAAGAAGCAGAACAGGCCUAAAGCAGAGCUAUGAAAUAGGGCCCUAAGUUUCAUCCAGCAGCUUCUUCAGAGCCCCUGCCACCUGCCUACCUGCCCACCCAGAACCUGGCCUUGCAGGGAUCCCUUCAAUGCUUAUGGGCACAGCCUCAGCUCAUUCUCUCCGGACACAGGCCAAGCCCCUGCUGCCAGUGGGCAUGGACUGAGUGAGACCAGUGGUUCUCAACCUUGACGGCAUACUGGGGACCCCUUUAAAAAUGUGAGUGUUCAGGUACCCCCUGGAGCAGCUGAAUUAGGAUAACCAGAGUAAAGCCAGGGUGCUACCUGUCUCCCUUUCCCAACUCAGGUAAUGUGGAUAAACUAUUGGUCCAUGCUGGAGCUGGAAAGAGACCAUGGGGCAGCAUGACAAAGUGUAAGAGAAGAGGUUCUGGAGUAUUAUUCUGUCAGCUGUCCAUGUGGUCUGGGCCAACCUCCAAACUUACCUGUCCCCUCCUCUGUAAAUGGGAAUAACCAUCAUAGCACCUCCCUGAGGGCUGCUGUGAGCAUCAAAUGAGUUAACACUCAUCAAGUAGUUAGCACCACAGUGGAGAUAUACAGUAAGUGCUCCAUAAAUGUUUGCUAUCAUUAUUCCUUCUCUUGUAUCCUUUCUGAACUCCAUCCUCCUUAUCAAAGCCCCAUUUCAGGCCUGCUGUGGAGACACCACAGGGCAUAUGAUUGUGCAGACGAGUUCGGGGUAGACAUAUCCCUGAACGUGCUGGCUAAAUGUUGCCCUCCACAGUCCUUUGUGAAGGCUAUGGAGACCCCACCACAGGUACUGGACUGGAACAGACGUUGAAAUCGGAGAGAGUGGGCUGCAGAGUUAACUACAGAUGAGCAGAGCCCUCCCUGCCUCACCCUCUCCUGGUACAAAGGUGCGGGUCUGUAACUGCAGCAGCUUUCCCCAGCACCAUCUGACAUUCCAUCUGAAUUUGCUCCAGUGCCUGGUGGAACACUCCAGAAAAGGGAGAAACGGGGUGGCAGAUACGACCUGGAGGGCAGACCAGAAAGGAUGGAUCAUCAUAACACAGGUGGCCUCAAGAUCCCUUCUAAGGAUGGGGAAGUAGACCCCAAAAAAGGAGCAGCAGGACCCCCAAGGAAACACUUCCUCUACUUUAUAGUUUUGGAAAUGAGCAGAGCUGUGCACUGUGGGCUAUGGAUAGACACCCCCAGACAGGAUCUGCCCUGCUUUUACAUUACCACAGCAAACGCCACUCACAGCAGUGGAUAAAGUUAUGGGCAAAUUUGAUGGGCCCAAGCAGAAGGUCAGAUGCAGGCUGCCUGGUGUUGUAAUGCGCUCACAUGGCUGUGACACCCUUCUGUCCCUGCCAGGCUAGCCCAGGAUGUAUGGUGUCUGCCUCACUCCUCCCUCUCCCUAAAUGGCUCCAAAUCUCACCCAUCACUGAGAGCCCCGUUCAGGCGGCACUGGUGGGAAGCUACCUGGGACUGCUCCAGCCUUAACUCCUGAGGCUUUCAUUGUCAGGUUCUUUGGCCACCUAUGGAUCACUGCCUUGCGAUCAGUCUCUUAUACAUUGCCUUGAUAUCACUGUUUAAGUCUUAGUUUACAUGUAUUACCUACUGAAGCCUAAAGGUCUCUGAGGCCAUGACUUUGGAAUCUCUAAAACCUAUGUGGCAGCUGGAAUAGAGUUGAGUGUAUUCAUUCAGGCAUUCAGCAAGUAGUUGCUGAGUGGCUGCAACAUGAAAAGCGCUGUGCUGGGUGCUUGGGGGUUCAUCAGCCAAGCAAGGCAGACUAAUACCACAUUCAAGGCGGUGAGUACGUAUGUGGGGACAGACGGCUGAGUAGACGCGUGAGUAGAUGGGUUGGUGGGGGAGUGAAUGGUGGGGGCAUCCUUUGCUCUGUGUUAGCUCAUAGAAGCAGCUCAUCUCUUUACUGUCCUGUGACCCUACCAGUGUUUUGGGUGGAGGGAAGUCCAGAAAUCCCAGGGAUUUUAAUCUCAAGAGAGACGGGAAACUCAAAGAAGGGUGGUACCCACCUAAAAAAGGCAUCCAUUUGAUGAGUGCUGGGACCAGAUUGGGACCCAGGAUACUCAGCUGUCACCUGGGGCCACUAGAGGCAUCUCUCCAGAGCAUCCCUGUCAGAGGUACCUGAGCCUCAGCGCGAACACCUGAUGACGGGACACCACAGGCCAUCUGAGACAGAGACCGGCAUUCCCUUGCUGCUCCUGGUCGGUUCCCUCAUUCUUUCCUCCUCGUCUAAGUAAUGUCCAAGACAGAACCAGCCAGGCUUUGGCCAUGACGUCCUAACCUGCAGCACGUUGCAUGUACACCCGCAUCUGCACACAUCUGCUCUAACUCUUCGAUCAAAACGGUAGCUAGGGAAACUGACAGGGCCUGGCUCCACGGUACUGCUGUCACAGGCUGUCAUCCCAGUGAGGCCCUGUGACCUCAGCUGGAGCCUGGGUGCAUUUUCAGCCUAGACAAAACAUAGUCAGAGGUGAAGGAGACCUAGACAGAGUCCAGGAAACCACACAGAUGACCACCUCUUGACCCCAAAGAAAAAAGUUAUUUCUUUCUUAAAAAACUACACUUCCCUUUCCCACAAUCUUAGCCUCUCCAACUGAAGAGUCAGGAAAAGCAGUCAUGAGUGGUGAUGCGGAGGGAACAGGGCUGACCCUAAGACCUUACCACCUUUCAGGGGAAGCUGCUGAGUUCUUCUCUGAAGUCCUACCUUGCCCCUCAUCCAGCUCCUUGCUUAUUUCAGUUUUGGGUAUGGACAGAACUAACAGCUUUGCGUCAGGCCUGUCGAGGACGGGAAGGGGCUAAUGAGUUGGGGGAAGAACAGCAUUGGAGAGGGAGGGGGUAGGAGGGAGGCGGGCAGAGGUAGAUUCUGGCUUCACGAUUAUGAGUUUUCAAAGAUAACAACACAACCAUGGUGUCAGAUGUGUACACUUUCACUAAGUUUGCAGAGUUUUUUUUUUUUUAAUGUAAGUUAUUUCAUUUAGUCCUCAAAUGGUUUAGUCUCUAAUUAAACAGAUAAGGAAACUGAAGCAAAGUGAGGCAUCCCAGGAAAGAGCAAAUGGCUAGUGUGGAGCCAGGCCCCCAGGUUUUCCGACUCCCCGUCCAGUGCUCUCAGCGCCACUGCCUUCUAGAAGCACUUGAGGGAAGAAGCCGGGACUCAGUCACUGUGGUGCCUCCCUGAUCCCCAGUCAGCAUUUGGUUCAGUGUGGAGCGAGCACUCAGUACCUCACCGUGGAACGGCCUGGCACUGAAACCUGGAGGCAUGCGGAUGCUCUGAGGCUUUGGGUCUGGGGCAGCAGCAGCCGGGAGCAGGGCUGAGGAGUGAGCAGGGAGCGUGCAGGCACAGUCACAAUAAGAAGGGGUGGGCGGCGCAGCAGUGGGCAGGUGUCGCCUGCGCCCUGGGUUCUCUACACUGAAGCCAAGCAGCUGGUUAGAAACAAAAACAAACACCAGGGAUACAGGUUCCUGCUGUUAACAGCUUCAAACCGCCGGAGGAAAACUCCAAAUAAAUAUAAUUAGAAACUUGUAAAAACGUCCUCUCUGUAAACCUGCUCCCCAGGGGCUCCCCUUUAAGCACCCCCCCUUCUCUAAGCCCUCCCCACCAAUGCCCACGGAUCCUAGUAAUCCACCCUCACCCAAGGACCCUUAGAUCUGUCUCCUUAUCUUGGAUCUUCUGUCCAGGUCAUUCCUCAGCUCACUGUCAGUGAUCAGACCUGGAGAGCUCCUGGCAUGGGCUGUGAAACCCCAACCCCACAGCUCUUUAGGACUAUGCACACCGCCAAGAGAAGACCAGAGCGGCUUCCACGAAGAGAACAAAGAUCUCCGGCCUGCCAGCUGGCAUCAACACCGAUGUGUGGUUGCAGCCCCCUGCACGUCGCAAGGCAAGUCUCCAGUCUGCCAGAACCUGCGCUCUGUCCCGCCCGCAUCCCAAGCCCCGUCAGUCAGUGCCCUCAGCCCCUGCUCUGCUGAGAAGUCAUCUGGCAUGGACUUCCAGUGCUCUUCCUCCUUCCCCCUCCGCUGCUGAGAGAAGGGGCCCCUGUUCUGGCCAGGGUCAGUAUGGUACCUGUACACGGAUUCCAUCCCCGCCUGCCCCCACAGGGAGCUCCCUCUCCCUAGCCAGAAGCUCUCACUUGGGCUCCUGGGCCUCCCUGCCCCUGGAAAUACAGCCUAAGCAGCGGCAUCAACCAGCUCUUCCAGACCCUGCCCCUUCUUGUCCUUCCAGGCUCCCAGACUUCUCGCAGGAGCCCCACCUGCUAUCUGUCUUCACGUUGGGGCUUCCCUCCACCCCUUACCAAGCCCCCUCUGACGCCCAGUCUCAUGGUCCCCGGCGACCUGCACAUCCCCACCUCCAGGGCUGCCUGCCAGGCUGUACCCAGCCUGACCUUUCCUGCCCCUUCUUGGAGCCCUUUCUUCUCCUGCUCUCACUCCACUGGCCCUGUAGCUACUGAAGCAUCUGGGUUACCACCUGAGCUGCCCAUACUUCUCUACUGUGCGGCCUCUCACCAGGGCACCACAAGGGAGGUGGAGAGAUUACCUGGCUUUAUGGCCAGACCAUCCUGAGGUUAAAUUCCAGCCCCAUCGGUGGGUGAGCUGGGGCAAGUUUUCCGCCUGUCCGAGCUUUGCUUUCCUCAUCUAGAAAAUAGAGAGGAAAUUCUGACCGUGCAGGCAUUUGGAGUGUCGUGCACGAGGACUUGAGGUAGUGUGUGGUGUGAGCGCCAGUAUGCCGAUGACUCCCAAAUCUACAUCCCUGGCCCCAUCUCUCUUCCAGCUCUAACUCUGUGUGUCUGGUGUGCAGAUCUGUAGCUCUCCCUCCUGUCUUUAUCCAGUUCCGCUUAUGUUCAGAUGCUUUCAAUGGUAUUUCUCAAGACCUUAAGUUAAACCUUCUAAUAGAACCCAGUGUGUCCUUCUCAACACUUGCCUUCCACACACACACCUGUCCUCUUCCUAUAAGCUCCGUCUUUUGAAAAAAAAAAUGGGUUAUUUAUUUUCAUCUACUUGAAAGGCAGAGCAACAGAGACAGAGAGAUCUUCCAUCUACUGGUUCAGUCCCCAAAUGCCUGCAACAGCCAGGGCUGGGCCGUGCUGUAGCCAGGAGCCAGGAGCUCCAUCCUGGUCUCCCACAUGGGUGGCAGGAGCCCAAGCACUUGAACAUAGUCUCCACCUUGAGUGGCCCCGUAAACCACUCAGUGGUCCCAGCUGAAGUCCCGAGCCCUGUAGGCCACCAGAGCCUGAGGGUGGAACUUCUGAAACCUCCCUCAAAUCCACCCCUCCCCUGCAUCCCCACUGCUGCAGCCACAGCACCAGGUGCUGGCUGUGCCUCCUGUGGACUAGGGGCUAACUCCCCAGCCCGGUGUACGUGGCCUCUGUGCCAGUGCCCAGCCUCCCUCCCCACCGAUGUUUCGUGUUUCUCUUCCCAUCUCACCAAUACUGCACUUGAGCCCCGUCAUGCCUGACACACUCCGUGUACACUUUACAACCCAACUUGAAUGCUGCUGUGUCUGAGGAGCCUUUUUUACUCCCUGGUGGAUGGAAAGCUCCAUGGUCCUUGAAACCUACCCCCAAAUGGUGCCCCUGGGUAUUGUGUAUUGCAAUAUUGUAAUGGUCUAGGUUGCCUUCCACUUGUCAUCCUUUAUCUAUCAGAGAGAGAGAUCUUCCACACUAUGGUUCACUCCCCAAAUGCCUGCAACAGCCGGGCCUGGGUCAGGUCCAGAACCAGGAGCUAGGAACUCAAUGCAGGCCUCCCACAUAGACGGCAGGGACCCAUUUGCUGCCUCCCAGGGUGUGCAUUUGCAGGAAGCUGGAAUUGGGAGCCAGAGCUGGGACUCACGUCCAGGCACUGUGGGACGCAGGCAGGUAAACUGGGGUCUCAGCCACCAGGCCGAGCGGCUGCCUUUGUCAAACCUCGGAAGGCACAGUCCACCUGGAUCCCCAGCCCCCAGCACAAGCCUCGGAUACAGCUGAGCUCAGUGCAUGCUUGUUGGAUGAGAUGCCUGCAAGCCUCAAGGAGCGGUGAGCUCGUGGGAACCCCGAGGAGGGUGGGGCAUUUCCAGGCCCUGCGACCUCGCUUCCGCCCAGGCCGAUGGUGCUGCUGUUGCCUAAAGGAUGAGAGGCAGCAGAGGGUGUUGAACGGAAGGGCCACGUGGAAGCCAGGGGCCGUGUGGAAGUCUCGAGCUGAAGAGAGAGAGACCAUGGAGAAGCAGAGGACUCAGGAGGGGAUUCUGGCUAAAGGCUCUCGGCUUCUGGAGGACAGAGACGCAGAGCUGGGACCUUCCAAGCCGGACUUCAGGAGCUCCCUUACAGGUCUGGAGAUAUGGAUAAUGGCAGCCUGGACAAAGUAGCCAGAGGCAGAGGCUGGGCAAGAAGAAGCCUGGGGGCUGAAGCAGGUGGAGAGGGCGCCACAGGCACCUCCUACCUGAAUUCCGGGGGAGGCAGCUCCCACAGGCCCAAUUCCAAGUGUGUAGGGGGGGAAUUUUUUAAAAAGAUUUUAUUUAUUUAUUUGAGAGGUAGACGCACAGACAGUGAGAGGGAGAGACAGAAAAGUCGUCCAUCCGCUGAUUCACUCCCCAAAUGGCCUCAAAGGCCGGCAAAGGGGCCCUGACCCUGACUCAGUGGCCUGAUGUCACCCUUCCAUUAGCCCAAGGGCUACUGAGGAGGGAGAGGAACUUGUUCCAGUGUUCAUCUGUCCUCACCCUCUGCCUCCUGGUCCAGUGUUGCUGGGAUUGAUUGAGAAAUUCUGUGGCUUCUCUGGGUAGACCGACUGUAGUGACUGUAAUGCCACCCUUUACCAGUAGGUGCCGCCAUCUAACAUCCCAUCCUCCAGCCCCUGAGAAGUCCUGAAAUCAGACCUCUUCCAGAGCCUGCCCCAGGAACCCAGGGCCUCAAACAAAUUCGCAAGACGGAUGAAAUGCCAUCUGGAAUACUAUGCAGUAAUGAAAACAAACGACGACCACCUACAGCCAUCUGGGUGAAUCUCUCAAACACGAUGUUGAGUGGAAGGAGCCAGACAUAGAGGGAGCACUUCCGCCCAGAUUUCACCUCCUUGGAAAACGGAACCAAUCUGAAAUGGGUUUCAAACGUCUCAGGCAAAACCUUUCGGAAGGUGGAAGGCAGCAGGGCCCGGCUGGAACCCCACCUGUGGGGCCCCAUCUCUCAGAGGCGUGUGAGUGCUGGUCGCCCGGUGGCUCCAAACGGGCCACCCAGGAGUGAGAAUCCCAGAACGCCCAGCCACAAUCCUGCCUGUCUCCUGGGCUAAUGCUUGAUAGUCCAUGAAACCCUGUUGACUUAAAGCUUUGAUCCCUGCUGGAAGGAGAUAGCCCUGGGAAAAGAUAGCCCCUUAAUCCUCUCAGUCACAGCCCUGGGUGUGUGUGUGACUGUAGCAGGAAUUGCUGUUGCCCUAUGCAUCAUUUCUCUCCUUUGUUUUAUAAUUGGACCCCCAAAUUCUGGCAGCCCAGUUGGAGCUCAACUUGGCACUGUUCUCUCUUGCUUGUGGGAGCCUGUCCCGUGUUUAGCCUCUGUCUACCACCAACCACCCUUCUAGUUUUGACCAACAAUGUCUCCAGGGGGCUGGUAUCGUGGCACAGCAGGUUAAGGAGCCGUGUAUGUGGCCUCCCAUGUCAGUGCGUCAGUUCAAGUCUCAGCUGCUCUGCUUCAGAUCCAGCUUCCUGCUACUGCACCUGGAAGGCAGCAGAAGAUGGCCUAAGUGCGUGGGUCCCUGACACAUACUUGCGAGACUGGGUGGAGUUUCAGGAUCCUGGCCCAGCGCUGGCUGUUGUGGCCAUUUGGAGAGUGAACCAGUGGGUGGAAGACCUUUCUGCCUCUCUCUUUCUGUCACUCUGCCUUUCAAAUAAAUAAAUAAAUCUUUAAAAAAAAAAAAAAAACAGCAGGGAGGACAUAAAUGAAUAAAUAAGGGAAUGAAUGGCCCAACCUCUCCCCCACUCCCCAUGUGUUUAAGGCACCAUGUUAGGGGCUUUUGUGGGUUCCCAAGUGACCGUCCAGGAGAUGGACUGUUGUCCUUGUAUUUCCACAAGAGGGGGCAAAGGGCUCAGAGAGGUUGAGUGACUUGUUCCCAUCACGUAGCCAGCAAGGGACAGAACCAGGAAUGGGUUACAGGCAACGCAAGCUGCCCCGCACCACGCUACUCCUGACUGGGAGACCGUGCAGACAGGAGCCCCCAGUAAGCACGCUCUGCCUCCUGGCACCCCUCAGCCAGGCGGGAGGGGGGCAGCUGUGUGUCUUGUUCCAGGGUCUCUGCUGGCAUUCAAGGGCGAGGAAGCCCCUCUCCAGCCUCCGCUCCUGAGAGGCCGCGGCACAGAACCAGGAAAGGGGCCAUAUAGGCCGGGUGCCUUCCCUUCCCAAAGACAGGCUGAUGCCCCAGGACAAGCAGCCUGACCCCUCUCCCCACAACUGGUGUGGCGGGGGCACAGAGUGCUUGUAAGCCCCACAGCCAGUGGAUUCAGAAGUCCAGGCAAGAAGCCUUUUGCAGAGUAGCUGUCCUUUUUCCCUGGGUGAGAGAGACAGGGCCUUGUGGGCUCAAUCAGCCUUGAGGGUGGGUAAGAACAAGGGACCCAGCCCUGCUUCUGCCCCUCGGCAGCUGUGUGACCUCAGGUGAGUCACUUGCCCUCUCUGCGCCCCAGUGUCUUCAUCUGUAAGGGGGAGGUUAGACAGAGCUAUCCCUUUGAGUGCCCAUAGCCUCAUGUCCUGUGAUACAAGGCCAGGGCAGGGGCUGUAGUACCAGACAGGACAGCUCAGAACGGCCCAGCCUCCCGUGUUAGCGGCUGAGCCGAAGGGACACGCCUGGCCAUGGAGGCGGCUUUAGCACAGCGUGUUACAGCUCCGCUGGAAUCCACUCCACUCCACUGCACUUCAAAAGUGCAGAAGGGCUCCAGUGUGACAGUCGCCAGCGGAACAUCAGUGUGGCCCGGCUGCCUCGGAGGGGUCACUUUGCUCAUAUGCACCCGCAGUGGGGGAAGGAAAGAGAAGAGAGGCCAGCCAGAGCCUCACGUGGUGGGGUCUGUGUGGUGCUCACGUGGUUGUCAUCUUCCCCUGGUGUCCAAGAAUGAGACACAGACAGCUGUGACAAGCCAGGAAGACGGGCAGCCUUCGGAGGACACACUGUAACCAGUGCAGAGAACGGAACACCAAACGGAGAGAGGGCAGAUCAGGGUGACAGCUCCAGCAGCCAGGUGUGGGCCAGGGGAACGUGGGUCUCAGCUGAUGAUGGAAUUCCGUCCUACGAUUAUGGCUUCCGGAGCAACAAGGCUUUGGUGCUGCGUUUAGAGAAAUCUAGCAGGAAGCCGAAGAAGACUGAGAAUGCUGAUUGCUCCCCAUUAUAAGUGCUUACUGGGCCAGACACUGGAUCUAGACAAUUCCACGGAUGAUCUCACCUGAUCCUCAGAAUACCCAAUGAAGCCAGCAGUAUUCAUGAGCUCUCCAUGUUUCCAAUAGCAGACUGAAGUUCAGAGAGGUUAAAAGAGUUGCCCAAGGCCACACAACCGAUAAAAGGCAGAGGUGGGCUUCGACCUUUCCUCUGUCUUCUACCUAGCCCCAAACAAUCGCACGUGAGGAACAGUGGCAGGAGGAGCAGUUGUGAGUCUUUGAUGACUGCAAGGGUAUUGGGGAGAAAGCCGAUCUGACUUCCCCUGCGUUGGAUCACUGGGAAGAACUGAGACGGAAGGGAAAGGAAACCAUCUUGGCUCUGCGAGAGGAGGACGUUCCGGGCAGCCAGCUGUGGGACGGCAGAGGGCCACCUGGGGUGCUGAAGUCUCCGACCCUGGGGGUGUUUGUGCAUUACUAUGUAGCGGGGUGGCGGGGAGGCAGGAGAGGAUGCAAGCAGGAGGUUGAAUGGAGGCCCCCGCCGCUCACCCUGGGACUGUAGCAGAAGCACCUUGGGCUCUGGCAUCCGACAGGUGUCACUACCUAAAGGGUUUCUCCGGGUGUUAUGGAGGGAAUCGCCCUACCAAGGGACCUCAAGCCAGACUGAGGACUAGCACAGCUCGGAAAGAACUGGCCUCAGAGCCGUGGGACCUGGUCUUUUGCCUUCAACCUGCAGUUAUGGGGGCAGGCAUUUGGCGCUGGUUAGGAUGCCUGCCCCCGAGUGCCGGGUUCCAUUCCCAGCUCUGGCUCCUGACUCCAGCAUCCUGCUGCUGCACAUCCUGAGGGGCAGCGGAGACCUCAAGUCGUUGGGGAUCCUGCCACCUGUGUGGGAGGCCUGGCAUGAGCUCCCGGCUUCUGGACUUGGCCUGGCCAUAGCAGGCAUUUGGAGAGUGAACCAGCUAAUGGGAAUGCUCUUUCUACCUCUGUCUCUUUAUCUGUCUCAUCCUUUCAAAUGAGUGUUAUAUUUAUGCAAACGCACACAAUUGCAUUAUCUUUUGGCUUCUCUGGACCUGAGUUUCUUCACUGAUAAAAAUGAGCUUGCACUGGGUCAGUUCUGUGGUCCCAACACAUAAAUAGAUGUUGCAGAGGAACGUGGGGCACCAGACAGACCCCAGUGGGGUCCCAGAGAUAACUGCCAGACAGAGAAGCAAUGACAACACAGCUGAGGACAAUCUCAGGGCAGCCAGCAGAGGAAAGCGGGUCCUCUUGGUGGGGUGGGCUGAAAUUAGAGGCUGGGGCGCAGCAGCUGGGCCAGGGGCCCAAACGGGGAAGCCAGUUCUUCCAUUAUUCUCACGGAGGAGUUGCUAGUGCCGUGCUCAGCAGACAAAACAAACACAAGGUGGUUGUCGGUGAACGUGUGUGUUCUGAGUGCUCACGUGGCCGGUGUGCUCCUUCCACUCAGCAGGCCCUGAGAAGCCCUAAGUAAAAGUCAGGGUGCAGGGUGGGCAGCAGACUCGCAGCUCCCAAGGGGUCACCUGGGCUUUGCAGUUCGCCCCCUCCCCUGAGUCCUUUUUGUUAUCGUCAAUGAGGAAGAACUCUCCCUGGGUCGUUCUCCACCCCACUCCCCCGCCCCCAUUUUAUUUGAAAGGCACAGAGAUGUGGAGAGGUUCAGAGACAGAAAUGGAAUUUGCAGUUGCUGGUUCCCUCCCACCCCCUGCCCAUGUCUCCAACAGCCAGGGCUGGGCCAGGCUGAAGCUAGGAUCCUGGAACCCCAUCAGCGUCUCCUACAUGGGUAGCAGGGAUCCAAGGACCUGAGCCAUCACCUGCUGGAGUGUGCAACAGCAGAAGUUGGCAUGAGGAGUGGAGCUGGGACCUGAACCCAAGCACUCCAAUAUGGGAUAUGGGCGUCCCAGGCAGCAACCUAACGGCCACGCCACACGCCCGCCCCUAGGUCUGCUUUUUGAGCGAGGUGAGGGUGGGGUGGGGGAACCUGGACUUGAUCCCCACUCUGCCACUCGCCAGCUGAAUUGGGGCAGUUUACUUCACUGGGUCUGUCCUGUCCGGAGCAUUUACCACCCAGUGGGGGGCGCUUAGCAGGAUGGCGGGGAAGGCUGCAGCUAGUUAUGCUGAGACAAGAGCAUCUGCUGAAACACUUUGGGUUACUGUGGGGAGCAAUCCGGACUGGACUAAGUUACUGGAAUUAAGACUUAUUCUAUGCAUCUGCUCUCCCACAAUAUGGCGCUGGGAGAGAAGUAAACAGCUUCUGCACAGCUGCCUCCAGUUCAGCUAAUAAACUGUAGGACUUGCUCCUGAUUGGAGGAGAGCAGCGUACUCGGCGUGUGGGCAGCCGAGUUAGGAUUGGCGGAGGAGGACUAUAAAGGAGGAGAGAGACGGCAUGCACCAAGAAACAUCUAAGGGGAACAUCUAGCUGAAGGAACACCUGUGCAGCCCCCAAGAAAGCCGGCCGGCGGUGUGCCGCUCCCCUGCGGAAGUGGGGAAUGUGGCCAGGGGGAACUGCCCUUCCACGGAGGUGGAAGGGAUAGUAGCCAACCCGGGAAGAACCAGCAGCAAACCCGGGGAGGGCCGAGCAGACAGAAACAACAGCGCAGGGUCCUGUGUCGUUCCUCCACGAAGAGGGGGAGCGACAGGUUACCCUGCUUCAUAUCGCUGAGCCUAUUUCUGUGUUGGAAAAGUGGGUGCCGUGGUGGCAUGAUGGGGGGUGCUCAGGAAGAGAAGGCUCCGCGUCGCCGUGCCCCUCGGCCUCCAGGCUUUGUUUCUGAGAAGGCCUCGGAAUGGGGCUAAGCAGGGUCCCUGGGAGGCUGUGCUAGGGCCGCCUCCACAUCCAUGUGUUCUUUCCUGGAGGGCCUGUGCCCAAAGCCAGCAAGGACUCAGGGCCUCCUUUUGGGAUCUGUUUGCCUUUUCAUAAACACAGACACAGGAUUUUUCUUGGCUGGGCCCGUCCACUCACAGCUCACAGAUUGUACCUGGAAGCAUUCACUCCCAGGUGAUUUGAAUCAGGAUCUACCAGGAAGUUUGUUUUUCAAGGCCUUAGUCAACAUGUGGGUGUGGAAACACCAACCAAUUUCAAUGUAGAGUCAACUCCUUCUUAAAUAGGGACUUUCACGUUACUCAGACUUUGCAAAACAACAUCGUGUUUAAACAAAAUUCCAUUUCCCUGUUCAUAACCAGCGGCAGUUGCUAAAGAUGGUUCUGUUCUGACCAGGGGCUUCCCCAGCCCAAAUUGCAGCUGGUUCCUAGGUCAGCGCUGCACUGUGACGUCACGGGGCUGGGCUGUGAGAUCACUCCUGCAUGGCUGUCAGUUCCCCCUUCUGGCUCCUCAUGUGGACUUGAAGGAAGGAUUGUGGCCUGGCACGUGGGUCCUCCAGAAAUCUAUUCCAGGGGGCUUAAUGUGUUUGAUCUCCUGGUUUGCUGAUUGCCUGGAACAGCGACAACACAGGCCACCCCUCCCUUGAGCCAAGGAGCUUCUGUGUUUCAGCAUGCAGACCUCAUGGUCCAGACGGCGUGUGAGAAGCCGAGGCCCAGUGUACAGAGAGUGGUAUGGCCAGGAAUGAGAGGUGGGGUCCCGAGACGCCCUCCUCUGCCCCUCCCCGCAGAACCUCUUCUGUGAUAGACCCAUGGUGCUCAGCGGCUGUUUGGCCAGCUCCUGGAACCAGAUUCCUCACAGGUGGCACCAGUAUGAAGAAUUUCUCCAAAGCUGGUUUGCCAGAAAGCGGCAGCUCCUACCUUCAACCAGAAGAGGUGCUGUAAAAUCACAUGGAAGCCGAGUUCCGUGCAGUCACUAAGGAACAAUUUGGGCCUUUCAGAAAUUAAUGUUAUUUAAAGGUGCAGAUUCAUCCACCCCAGUGGCCUCUGGGGAGGGCCUCCCUGGCCAUCUGGUUCAAUCGGCUCAUUUUCUUGCCCCUAAUCCUCCUGGCGCUCGUGUGUGUGUGUGUGUGUGUGUGUGUGUGCACGCGCUUACAGCGAGGGCUUCCCGGGGAACUUGCAGAGUGAGUGAAAGGCGAAACCUUUCUCUUGCACCAGCCACCUCUCCUCUUUCCCUAAUAGCAUAAAAUUCCUAAUCCUGUUUAUCCUUGGUGGGAGCAGAAAACGCACCUUGCAACAAUGAGGAGACCCGCGGAGCCCCCCUGCCCCUGCCCCUGCCCCACCUGGGCUCAUGUCCUCUAAGCCUGGGUCCGGCAGAGACGGGUGGGGUCCCCUUCCCCCAUCCUCAGAGAGGAACAGAAGAGGUGAGAAGUGUUGGGGAUGCAUUUGCCCAGGCCUGCUGGAGGAAGAGUCGUGCUAGUUGAAAGCUACCCAUGAGCCACGGGGAGGGUUUCAAAGACUCAGGUAGUGUUUUCAAAAGGAAGGUUUCAGUGCGGUCCCAAAUGCGUAAGUCCCUGUGCAAGUCCAAUUAUAAUCCACAAAGGCAGGAUACCGUGUUUACAUAAAUAAUUACCAGAUUUCGGGUAGCCAGACGUGUUGUGGCACAGAGGAGGCAAGCCCAUCAAUUACAUUUGGGGAAUUAAGGGUCAGAUUGAUCUUAUCUCUGCAAAUCCAGCCACAUUCCGGCAAGCUAAAGGCACAUCCGGUUGACUGAGCCUUGAGAAGCCAGGGCCCCAGAAACCAGUGAUGGCGAGGCUGUCAGUAGCCCCCAUGCCUUCCUUCCUGCUUCCCCCUUGCUGCAGUCUGCAGGCUGGCUCUGAAAGCAAGGGUGGGGGGAGAAGAACUGCCUCAACUUGCCCUCUGCCCAAGCUGCAAGGGAGGAGAGAGGUGCAGGCAGCUCACUUCCUAUCCUCUUUUUCCUCCUGGACCACACAGGAUCUCUCUCCCUCUCUCCCUCCUUCUCUCCCUCUCUCCCUCUCCCUCUCUCCCUCUCUCCCUCCUUCUCUCCCUCUCUCCCUCCUUCUCUCACUCUCUCCCUCCCCCUCUCUCCCUCUCUCCCUCCCUCUCUCUCCUUCUUCUCUCCCUCUCUCCCUCUCCCUCUCUCCC
Oryctolagus cuniculus (rabbit) is the source of this 16931-nucleotide non-coding RNA. The record is from RefSeq and is a predicted model, not a curated record. NCBI's taxonomy places the organism in Eukaryota, Metazoa, Chordata, Mammalia, Lagomorpha, Leporidae.